Long non-coding RNA from Lolium rigidum, 318 nucleotides. RefSeq lists it as uncharacterized. The record is from RefSeq and is a predicted model, not a curated record. NCBI's taxonomy places the organism in Eukaryota, Viridiplantae, Streptophyta, Magnoliopsida, Poales, Poaceae. The transcript is spliced from 4 exons.
UAAUCUACUUGGUGUUGUUUGGCAGGAAACCAGAGGAAGCCGUUGAGCAUCACCAUGGUGAUCCCGCUGGACUUCAGCAACCAUGUAUGCAUGGUACUAGAGCAAUUGUGUUGUUUAAAUGUAAAACCUGCUGCCGCCAUCUGUGAUGAUGCCUAUGUCGACCGAAAGACGGGAGAUCCUCUUGCGGUCAAGGAACUGGUGCAUCCCAGCAAGUAAAGGGCGUGUCCAUGGAAGCCAUGUCUCUCUCUAGGCGACAACAUCGGAGCUCUGGUACAUGUAUAUGAGGCUCUUCCUUGGUCACUUGACUCAACAAAGGCG